Molecule: transfer RNA, 67 nt
Filed under: Geomydoecus aurei
Lineage: Eukaryota; Metazoa; Arthropoda; Insecta; Psocodea; Trichodectidae
Description: tRNA-Met
Source: RNAcentral
GCAAGUAGAGGCUAUACUAYACAGCCACUAGGCUCAUAAUCUGGGGAUAAAUUUAUAUUUACUUGCA